This is a non-coding RNA of Musa acuminata subsp. malaccensis (wild Malaysian banana), 499 nucleotides long. Lineage: Eukaryota; Viridiplantae; Streptophyta; Magnoliopsida; Zingiberales; Musaceae. The record is from RefSeq and is a predicted model, not a curated record.
UGUUUCAACAUUCAGUAUUCUUCGACUGAUUACAUCUACCAAAUUGUAGCUGUGUCCGACUGCAGUGUUGCAUGAACAGAUUCUCUGCGAUCAAGCAGCAUGUCAGAUUGCAACUCAUGCAAAGCAGAGAAAGAAAGGUGGUGGAUCUCACAAUGCCAUUGCUGUUGAAGCCAAACGCACAGCUGGGUAGCUCGCCUGCGUAAGUGUAUGCUGUGAACGACGCCCCAUUCGGCAGUCUUGCCCUCACCAGCGAUGGCCAUGGAGUCGUUUACCACAAGAACAUCCGAGCAGUCGUCGUCGUCGUCGUCGUCAUCAGCAGCAGCUUCCUUUUGUGGAGUGGUCUCCUCCUUUGGAAUGAAGGGGAGGAUCUCCUUCCGAAAGUUCAGUAGUAUUAUCUACUCAUGGCAACAACACGAAACAACCGUGCCUGAUGUGACUUGUGGAAUGGAGAAUGAGAUGAAGCGAGGAAUCAGGUGAAGCAGGAAAAGGGAAGGGGCGG